Molecule: transfer RNA, 73 nt
Filed under: Ailuropoda melanoleuca (giant panda)
Lineage: Eukaryota; Metazoa; Chordata; Mammalia; Carnivora; Ursidae
Rfam family: tRNA
About the family: Transfer RNA (tRNA) molecules are approximately 80 nucleotides in length.
Source: Rfam by way of RNAcentral
ACCCGUUUGGCUCAGUUGAUAGAGCAUGCGACUCUUGACCUCAGGAUUGUGAGAUCAAGUCUCACAUUGGGUG